RNAcentral lists this RNase P RNA (337 nucleotides) under Gammaproteobacteria bacterium. Its description in RNAcentral is "RNase P RNA component class A". It matches the Rfam family "Bacterial RNase P class A". From Rfam's summary of the family: Ribonuclease P (RNase P) is a ubiquitous endoribonuclease, found in archaea, bacteria and eukarya as well as chloroplasts and mitochondria. Its best characterised activity is the generation of mature 5'-ends of tRNAs by cleaving the 5'-leader elements of precursor-tRNAs. Cellular RNase Ps are ribonucleoproteins. The record is from RNAcentral. Lineage: Bacteria; Pseudomonadati; Pseudomonadota; Gammaproteobacteria.
CGAGUCAGCCAGACAAUCGCCCCAUUCGGGGAGGAAAGUCCGGGCUCCACAGGGCAAGACGCCAGGUAACACCUGGGCGGCGUGAGCCGACGGAAAGUGCCACAGAAAAUAUACCGCCUGCCUCCGGGCAGGUAAGGGUGAAAUGGUGCGGUAAGAGCGCACCGCACGGCUGGUAACAGCCAUGGCAGGGUAAACCCCGUCCGGAGCAAGGCCAAAUAGGGGAACGACAGGUGUGGCCCGCACUGUUCCCGGGUAGGCCGCUUGAGGUACACGGUGACGUGUGUCCCAGAUGAAUGAUUGUCCACGACAGAACCCGGCUUACAGGCUGACUCAUCCU